GAUGAACGCUGGCGGUGUGCCUAAUACAUGCAAGUCGAGCGAACGGACGAGACGCUUGCUUCGCUGAUGUUACCGGCGGGCGGGUGAGUACCACGUGGAUAACCUACAUAUAGGACUGAGAUAACUUAGGGAACCCGGAGCUAAUACCGGACAAUAUUUUGAACCGAAGGGUUCUUAAGUGAAAGACGGAUUUGAUGACACUUAUAGAUGGAUCCGAGCUGCAUUAGCUAGUUGGUAAGGUAACGGCUUACCAAGGCAACGAUGCAUAGCCGACCUGAGAGGGUGAUCGGCCACACUGGAACUGAGACACGGUCCAGACUCCUACGGGAGGCAGCAGUAGGGAAUCUUCCGCAAUGGGCGAAAGCCUGACGGAGCAACGCCGCGUGAGUGAUGAAGGUCUUCGGAUCGUAAAACUCUGUUAUUAGGGAAGAACAUAUGUGUAAGUAACUGUGCACAUCUUGACGGUACCUAAUCAGAAAGCCACGGCUAACUACGUG
Molecule: ribosomal RNA, 497 nt
Filed under: uncultured bacterium
Lineage: Bacteria
Description: partial 16S ribosomal RNA
Rfam family: Bacterial small subunit ribosomal RNA
Source: RNAcentral